This 1542-nucleotide ribosomal RNA is filed under the name Salmonella enterica. Its description in RNAcentral is "bacterial SSU rRNA". It matches the Rfam family "Bacterial small subunit ribosomal RNA". Lineage: Bacteria; Pseudomonadati; Pseudomonadota; Gammaproteobacteria; Enterobacterales; Enterobacteriaceae. RNAcentral also lists the same sequence under 1 other name. The record is from RNAcentral.
AAAUUGAAGAGUUUGAUCAUGGCUCAGAUUGAACGCUGGCGGCAGGCCUAACACAUGCAAGUCGAACGGUAACAGGAAGCAGCUUGCUGCUUCGCUGACGAGUGGCGGACGGGUGAGUAAUGUCUGGGAAACUGCCUGAUGGAGGGGGAUAACUACUGGAAACGGUGGCUAAUACCGCAUAACGUCGCAAGACCAAAGAGGGGGACCUUCGGGCCUCUUGCCAUCAGAUGUGCCCAGAUGGGAUUAGCUUGUUGGUGAGGUAACGGCUCACCAAGGCGACGAUCCCUAGCUGGUCUGAGAGGAUGACCAGCCACACUGGAACUGAGACACGGUCCAGACUCCUACGGGAGGCAGCAGUGGGGAAUAUUGCACAAUGGGCGCAAGCCUGAUGCAGCCAUGCCGCGUGUAUGAAGAAGGCCUUCGGGUUGUAAAGUACUUUCAGCGGGGAGGAAGGUGUUGUGGUUAAUAACCGCAGCAAUUGACGUUACCCGCAGAAGAAGCACCGGCUAACUCCGUGCCAGCAGCCGCGGUAAUACGGAGGGUGCAAGCGUUAAUCGGAAUUACUGGGCGUAAAGCGCACGCAGGCGGUCUGUCAAGUCGGAUGUGAAAUCCCCGGGCUCAACCUGGGAACUGCAUUCGAAACUGGCAGGCUUGAGUCUUGUAGAGGGGGGUAGAAUUCCAGGUGUAGCGGUGAAAUGCGUAGAGAUCUGGAGGAAUACCGGUGGCGAAGGCGGCCCCCUGGACAAAGACUGACGCUCAGGUGCGAAAGCGUGGGGAGCAAACAGGAUUAGAUACCCUGGUAGUCCACGCCGUAAACGAUGUCUACUUGGAGGUUGUGCCCUUGAGGCGUGGCUUCCGGAGCUAACGCGUUAAGUAGACCGCCUGGGGAGUACGGCCGCAAGGUUAAAACUCAAAUGAAUUGACGGGGGCCCGCACAAGCGGUGGAGCAUGUGGUUUAAUUCGAUGCAACGCGAAGAACCUUACCUGGUCUUGACAUCCACGGAAGUUUUCAGAGAUGAGAGUGUGCCUUCGGGAACCGUGAGACAGGUGCUGCAUGGCUGUCGUCAGCUCGUGUUGUGAAAUGUUGGGUUAAGUCCCGCAACGAGCGCAACCCUUAUCCUUUGUUGCCAGCGGUCCGGCCGGGAACUCAAAGGAGACUGCCAGUGAUAAACUGGAGGAAGGUGGGGAUGACGUCAAGUCAUCAUGGCCCUUACGACCAGGGCUACACACGUGCUACAAUGGCGCAUACAAAGAGAAGCGACCUCGCGAGAGCAAGCGGACCUCAUAAAGUGCGUCGUAGUCCGGAUUGGAGUCUGCAACUCGACUCCAUGAAGUCGGAAUCGCUAGUAAUCGUGGAUCAGAAUGCCACGGUGAAUACGUUCCCGGGCCUUGUACACACCGCCCGUCACACCAUGGGAGUGGGUUGCAAAAGAAGUAGGUAGCUUAACCUUCGGGAGGGCGCUUACCACUUUGUGAUUCAUGACUGGGGUGAAGUCGUAACAAGGUAACCGUAGGGGAACCUGCGGUUGGAUCACCUCCUUA